Molecule: ribosomal RNA, 366 nt
Filed under: Triticum aestivum (bread wheat)
Lineage: Eukaryota; Viridiplantae; Streptophyta; Magnoliopsida; Poales; Poaceae
Description: partial small subunit ribosomal RNA
Source: RNAcentral
AUGACGAAUGAGGGAGGAUGGAGGAGGAGGGAGGAGGGGGUAGGCCGGACGUGCGGGGAAGGAGAGGAGGCGGCAGAGGCGAGCGGGGGGAAGGGGGCGGCGGCAUGGGGGAGGAUAGGAGCGAGCGGGGAGGAGAAUGAGGCGGAGUGGGCACGAAAAGGGUUGGCGGCUAGGGUUUCUACGCGCGUGCGCACGCCGUGCGGCCGCCCGCACCCAAAAAACUGGCACCCAGCCAAUCCGAUCCAGCGCGAGGGCCACAAGUCAUUCCCCGGCCAGGAUCUACCGCACGGUGAAAAUGCACAAGUCAAUCCGGAGCGAAGAUCCAACGAGCAGGAACCAAAAAAAGACCACGCUGACCACGAUUGA